Molecule: long non-coding RNA, 367 nt
Organism: Coffea eugenioides
Lineage: Eukaryota; Viridiplantae; Streptophyta; Magnoliopsida; Gentianales; Rubiaceae
Exons: 3
Source: RefSeq, a predicted model, not a curated record
UAUGCACUUCCUCUCUCUUUCUCUCCACCUUUUUGUUUGGCCUAAAUUCCUCUCUCUAACUUACCAGAUUUUCUGCCGUUGUUUUACAUUUGUUUUCCACAAAAGCUGUUUUGCAUUCAAGUUUUACAGUGGGUCUGCCGUUAGAGAUAUCCACAAUGGCAGACAAUCAUCUGGACAAAGAUGCAGGAUACAUUGAAAAUCAGCAACAAAACAUUGCUGAUGCCAUUGAUUUGCUUCCUAGACUAGCAACUGGGAUUGAUGUAAAUGUAAAAUUCAGGAGAAUUGCUGAUUUUGAAUUUACUCUGGGAUGUGCAAUGUUUGAUCUACUAGACAUUCCACUCUACUAUGGUUGGAUAGUUGACCCCAG